RNAcentral lists this long non-coding RNA (7390 nucleotides) under Canis lupus familiaris (dog). RNAcentral describes it as "lncRNA (ENSCAFG00000055452.1)". Lineage: Eukaryota; Metazoa; Chordata; Mammalia; Carnivora; Canidae. The record is from RNAcentral.
UUUUUUUUUUUUUCACUUACAAAGAGAUUAUAAAACUUUAUUGUGGCAUCACACAGCAGAAACGAGUUUGCAAGGCCAGGACUAUCUUGGGGUCCUCAGAAGGGGUUGCCCCAGAGGCCAGGGCACAGAGGAAGGGGGCAAGCCAUUGCCAGGAGGGUGGCUACAGCCAGGGAGCCAGCCUGUGCCCAGGCGCUCUUGCAAUGCCACACUGCAGGGGACCAGAGCGUCUGGCCGGGAGCUUCGGAGCUUCGGGAGGGCAAGGACUCCUGGGUGGCGGGUGGAGGCGGGCUCAGGGCACCAUGUUCCACCACUUGAAGGAGAAGGGCUGCCGGCGCACAUUGGUGCCCCAGUGGACCUCCCCGUGCUGCAUGUGGUAGGCGUAGAAGUCGUCGAUGAAGGUGCAGUGCAGGCCCAGCAGCUCCAGCAAGGACCGCACCUUCUCCUCCAGGCAGCACUGGCCAUUGAUGAUGGGACCGAAGGGCUUGGGGAUGCCCAGGUGCUUCCCCAGCACCAGCAUGUUCACCAUGUUUGGAAAAUAGGCUUCAUCCUUGAGGAUCCCACUGUUCUCCUCCUGGAGCUUGAAGAGCUGGGGGAUGUCCACGAUGUCCCUCUCACUCAGGCCCAGCUCCCGCUUCAGCACCUCCCGGUUCCAGUCGAUGCAUUUCUCCACGUAUGAAUCCUGGUCUCUCAGUUUCUUGUCUGACAGGAUGUCCUUUACUUUCUGCUUUUUUUUUUCCUGAUGCCUUCAGAGAGUGCAGCCUCCCCGUGGCCCCCCCACUGAGCUGCUCCUCCAGCAGUGCGUAGCAGGCCCGGGGGCUGGCCAGCAGCAGCCGGAAGCCCUUCUUGGGCCCGGGCACGAAGCUCAGGAACUCGUCCACGUGGCCCACAAACAGCCAGUCGGAGUAGAGCUUCACAGGCGCCUGCACCUGCUGGGCGCCAAGGAAGUCCUGCACAGCCUGGGGCCUGGUGCAUCUCCUGGCUCUCCUUGCUGGGGUAGCUGCCGCUCCCAAUGAGGAUCCUGCCCAGAGGGUACUUCUUCCUCCCAACCGUGACCGGGGGACUCACUUCCAGGUUUCCAAAGGAGUGGAAAGUAGUAACCUCUCCAGUCUCGGGCCCUCAAGUCACGUAGCCAAAAUCUGGACCCAGCAAGCACUUGAUGGGGAAGUCCUUCAGGCCCCUGUUCCUCGGAGAGUCAAAGACCAUGGGCAGGGUCUUGUGUGGGGCUUGGAUGUAGCCGAUCUCUAUAUCGUCCUGCAUCCACCGAUCAUCGUUGCUCUGUUCCUUGGAGGGGAUGGUCAGCUUGCACUUGGCUUCCUUAGCCACAGCAGUUACUAAUUUCAGGAAAGCAUGGAGAAUAUGAGAGCGUCCCUGUAGCAUGCAAAGUGACGGGACAGGAUGGCCGGUUCCGAGGGGAAUGUACGACGGCCAUGCAGGAGGGGUUGGAGUCCAAGAGAGCCUCUCAUAAGUCCUGGGAACAUAACUGUGAGAGGUGGAAAACCAAGGUACCUUACAAAGUUUCAAACAGAUUCGAGGCAGAUGCUGUAAAGUUUAGGAAAUAGCAGGUACAGAGGAAACAGAUUGCUGUGUUCCAGUUAUACAGAAGAGCUAAAUAAGUGGUGCAUCAUCAUGAUGGUUUAGAUUUGAAUUAAGAAAGCGAUCAUACCAACAAAAAGAAAACAUGACAUUAUAAAGCCUUUGGAAUUAAAUAAAACAGCAAAUGAAUUGCAUAAAAAAACGCAAAUUUUUUUUAACAAAUGACAUUUUAUUAUUCAAAUGAUAUAAUAUCAACACCAAUGCUAAUAAAAAUAGAGGCUGAAUUCAUCAAUGGCAAAGUCAGUUGUAUUUCACUUGAAGAUACCCACAUUUCGAAGUAAGCCUUUUGUAGACAGAUGAAAAUCCUCUAUUAUGUAGAGUUUUAAUCUUUACCUAUUAAAGACUGGGCAAGGCAAAGCCAUCCCUACUAGCAGAGCAAGAAAAGCAGAGAUGGAACCGGUGUGUCUCCAUACACUUGGAGCUAUGAAUACUUUUCUGUCUUGCAGUUUAAGAUGAAGAAAAUUCUUUUUCUCUACUAAUGUCUUUAAAUGUUGAGAUUCUGGGUUCUUUUCAGAGUUUUACAGGAUGCUGCUUUGCUCUAUUUCUAGGCUAUUAGAAGCAAUAACGUUUAACCUCAAAGAAUCAGUAUGGGGUUGGUAACAUGGUGACCCUUCCUUUAAAAGCAAAGGACAUACAAAAAGGAAGUUUUUCAUCAGCAAGCUGGUGGGAGGUGGGGUCCAGUAAAGGAAGUCCUCAAUGAUAUUACACUUCAGAAAACACUGGAAGGAUAUAAGUGAUGAGCCAUGUCGAUAUCUAGAGUUAAAAGUAUUAAAGACAGAAAAAAUACAUUUAUAGUAUAUAAAAAUACAAUUGAGCUAUAUCCUAAAAAAUUUUCUGAAGCAGUCUGGGUAGUUCAGACUGCCUUCAGCUCAGGUCAUGAUCUUGGGAUCCUGGGAUGAAGCCCCAUGUCAUCUUGGGCUCCAUGCUCAGUGGGGAGCCUGAUUCUCUCUCUCCUCCCCGCUUACACUGUCUCUCAUUAUCUCUGCCACUGUCUCUGUCUCCUCUCAAAUAAAUAAAAUCUUUAAAAAGAUAUAUUUCUGGGAAAAAUACUCUUAUUACUUAUAAUGCAUUGUUUUACAUUCUAUUUCAGCAUUGCAUAUAGAACACGUUUCACCCAAAUCCACUGAAAUAACAGCCUACUAAUAGAUGUCAUCCUACAAUUUUAAAACCAAAGCACCAGUAGUUACAAAGAGGAACGAGAUUGCUAGUUCACUCUACAGAGACCAUGCCAACUUUGUAGGGCCCAAAGGACAGUAAAGUGGUAAGGAACAUCCUAGUGAGGGGAGCACAGAUACAAGUAAGCUUAGUGGUGACAGUCCUCCAUAGGCCAAAACUAAUGGUAGGAGAUGCUACUAUGGAACUCGUCUCACAAAUGCCGAAGGAGACGAUGGAAUUCUGACACUGCAGAUGCCAGAUGGCAACACUAACAAAGGUGGAGCAAGUACAAAACUAUAAAGGGCACAGGAUGAAAACGUAACUAGAAGGCCUCUGCUCACAGAGAUCUGUGGUGAUGGCCUGUGGACCACAGUGUUCCUAAGACACAGUGUAGCUUAUAUAAUUGAAGUGGAUCAGCACCUUCUCUUGAGGUAGACAGCAGUACGUAUUUGCUGUAUUACCCUGUGACAAUCUUAAUUCUUGUUUUCUCCAUCACAAUAUAUUCCUAAGGGACCUGGAUUAUCAUGCAAUUCUUGAUAAUGUUCUGAUCCAUUCUAUUGAUAACAUAUUAAUCUCUACAUUUUGGCUCAGUGUCAGUCAUUACAAGAACUGUUACCCCAAAAAAUCAUAUAUUGAGUAGCUUACCAAUAAAUGUAUUUCUCACAGUUCUGGAGGUUGACAGUUCAAGAUCAGGGUGCCAGCGUGGUCAAAUUCUGAUGAGAACCCUCUUCUGGAUCACAAAACUGCUAACUUCUCAUUGAAUCAUGUAGCAGAGAGCACAGAAGAGGAAGCAAGCUCUCUGGUGAUUCUUACCAAGGACCCUAAAUCCAACUCAUGGGGCCCCACCCUCAUAACCACAUUUAAUCCAAAUUAAUUCCCAAAGACCCCAAUUCCUAAUACCUAAUAUCAUAUUGGGGGUCUGGGUUUCAACAAAUGAAUUCUGGCAGGACACACACAUUCAGUCCAUAACAACUAGAAACCAAAAAUUACAUCAUCUUGGAUUUAUAAUGCACAUAAAACAACUAUAACACAAACAACAAUGCCAGGGAGGAGGUAAAUGGAGUUUUAUGGUUGCAAGGUUUUGACAUUUUAUGUGAAAUGGUACAUUAUUAACUCUAACUAGAAGGUGAAAAGUUGAAGUAUACUGUAUGUAAUGCAGAGAAAUACUGCUAAAAAGUCAACAAAUCAAUUAAAGUAGAAUUCUAAAAAUAUUCAAAUUCAACAGAAAAAAAGCAAAAAAUUAGAGAUAAAAAAAGAGGAACCAAACAUAAAUAUUGAAAUUACAGAACUAAAUCAAUCAAUAACUACAUUAAAUAUUAAUGAAAGAAAUGAGGAUAGGUAUGGUAGUUUUUGAGAAGGCCAAGUAUGAUUUUGAAAGGCAUCUGCUUCAUGUUGGGCAUCUACAGUCUCCAGGAAGUGGUAGGGUACUCCUCUCUAUUAGAGAGGAAUGGGUUCUUCCACUAGCCUGAAUUUCACACAAGUCUUUAACACCUGCACCAUUGCAAUCCCUUACCAUCCUGAAGCUAUUAAACCUUGAGCAUGACUUAGGACACAGCCUCACUUCUCAGGACAUAAGAAUCUUCUGAAUGCUUUUAUGGAGGUCUACUAUCCUUCACUGUGUGCCCUGUGUUGACAGCUAACUUGAACCUGUAUCUUCAAGCCUUCUUUUUUUUUUUUCUUUAAGAUUUUAUUUAUUUAUUCAUGAGAGCCACAGAGAGAUACAGAGACUGAGGCAGAGGGAGAAGCAGACCCCACACAGGGAGCCUGAUGCAGGACUUGAUCCUGGGACUCUGGGAUCACGCCCUGAGCCAAAAGCAGACACUCAACUGCUGAGCCACCCAGGCAUCCCAUCUUCAAGGCUUGUAAGGCAGAAAAGUCAGUAACUCCACAACUCAUAAACUUAUCACUGCCUCAUCUUGUUCAAGUGCUAUAGCUACUAUACAAAUCUAUCCAACCUCACGCUCAUCUAUCACACAGGAGAAUCCUUCUAUUACAGGAUGAUGAUGAUUAUCCUCAUACUUGCCAUUAGCAAUGUGGCCUUCAUUGCCAUCUGACUAAUAAGCAAUCUAGUUUUAGAUUCUCAAACUCGAGUUCUCAUUUCUAGGACCACUUUUGGGACCAACAGUACUACUCAGGUUUUGCACAAAAGCUGAGACAAGGAAUCAGGCACAGAUUAUUUUGGAGGUCACUUCGGGAGAACAGAGGGAAUGAAGAGAGUUGGACAGGAAAGUGGAGAAGUUAAUAAAGUGCCACUGAAGAAAAAACAGUGUCUAGGGGAUCCCUGGGUGGCUCAGCGGUUUAGCGCCUGCCUUUGGCCCAGGUUGUGGUCCUGGAGUCCCAGGAUCAAGUCCCAUGUCAGGCUCCCUGCAUUCUCCCUCUGCCUGUGUCUCUGCCUCUCUCUCUCUCUCUCUCUCUCUCUCUCUCCCUCUGCCUGUGUCUCUGCCUCUCUCUCUCUCUCUCUCUCUCUGUGUGUGUGUCUCUUUUGAAUGAAUAAAUAAAAUCUUUUAAAAAAUCAUGAAAAAAAAAUAGUGUCUAACACCACUGCAGACUCUGAGUACCACCUCAGAAUCGAUCCUGUUGAGGGAUGACUGGGGCAAAAUUAACAUCCAUUGUAUUUUUUGUACCAUUUUCUUACUGUUGGCUCCUAGUCCACUAGUAGUGAUGUUUUAUCACGUUGAAUGAAAUGUAGAAAAUUACUACCUAUGUUCUUUACAGGCUCUAUUUCAAAAUAUAAUUAUCUUUAGUAUUUUUAUAUGUAGAGUACCACAUCAGGUGGUGUUAUUUUUUUUUGCUUCCAAUAUGAAAUAAUUAAGAAACUUAUAAAAAUAAUUUUGUACUUGCCCAUAUUUUUAUCCAUUUCCUUCUUUCUCUUCUGAAUUUCCAAGACUCCUCUGUUUUCAUUUUCAUGAAAAACUUCUGUUAGCCACUGUUUGAAGGUAGGUCACCAUGUAAUAAAUUCUGUUUUCCUUUAUCUGAGAAAAUAUCUCCCUUUUACUCUCAAGGGCUAUUUUUAAUAUAGAAUUCACAGUACAUAAUUAUUUAAUCGCUUGAACAAUUUCAUGCCAUGUACUCUGGCCUCCAGGGUCUCAGGUGAGAAAUCUCUUGCCAUUUGUAUUGCUGUUCCUUAAAAGUUAAUACACAGGUUUUCUUCAAACUUCAAGAUUUUUUUUAUUAGUUUUAGAAGGUUGAUUAAAACGUGUCUCUGCAAUGAAGGCCACAUUAAUGGCAAUGCAUUAAAAUGUAUUAAUUUAUUCUCUGUGGUUUACUUUCCUUCCUCAAUCUGUAUAUGUUUUCUGCCAAAUUUGAGAGGUUUUCAAAUACAGGCAUACCUUGUCUUACUGUGCUUUGCUUUCCUGCACCUCACAGAUACUGCAUAUUUUUACAAAUUAAAGUUUUGUGAUGAUCCUGCAUCCAGCAACUCUACUGGCACUGUUUUACCAAAAGUAUCUGUUCACUUCAUGUCUCUUUGUCACCUUUUGGUUACUCUCACAACACUUCAAACUUAUCUAUCAUUAUUAUUGCUAUGGUGAUGUAACCAGUCAUCUUUGAUGUUAGCAUUAUAAUUAUUCGGGGCACCAGAACUGUGCCCAUACAGGAUGACAACCUUAAUAAUGUGUGUUCUGACUAUUCCACCGACCAGCCAUUCCCCCAUCAUUCUCCCUCUCCGUGGAUCUCACUAUUCUUUGAAACACAAGAGUAUUGAAAUUAGGCCAAUUUAUACCCUACAGUGUCCUCUAAGUGAUAAGUGAAAAAAAGCACAUGUCUCAGAUUAAAUCAAAAGCUAGAAAUGAUUCAGCUUAAUGAAAAAGGCAGGUCAGAAGCCAACACAGGCCAAAAGUUAGGCCUCGUGUGUCAGCCAAAUUAGGAAUGCAAAAGAAAAGUUUUGGUAGGAAAUUAAAAGUGUUACUCCAGUGAACACACAGAUGAUAAGAAAGUGAAACAGCCUAAUCACUGGUAUGGAGAAAGUCUGUCUGGUUUGGAUAGAAGGUCAAACCAACCACCACAUUCCCUUAAGCCAAAGACUAUUCUAGAGCAAGGUCCUAACUCUCUUCAAUUCUGUGAAGGUUGAGAAAGGUGAGGAAGCUGCAAAGAAAAGUUGGAAUCUUGAGGAGGUUGGUUCAUGACAUUUAAAGAAAGAAGCCAUCCUCAUAACACACAGUGCCAGGUGAGGCAGCAGAUGCUCAUGUAGAAGCUGCAGCAAGUUCUCCAGAAGACUGGGCUGAGAUAAUUCAGGAAGGUAGCUACACUGACCAGCAGAUUUUCAGUGUAGACAAAGCAGCCUUCUAUUGGAAUAAGAUGCCACCUAGGACUUUCAUAGCUAGAGAGAAGACAAUGCCUGGCUUCAAGGCUUCUAAGACAGGCUGACUACAUAGGGACUAAUGCAGUUGGUGACUUUAAAUUGAAAUCAAUGUUCACUUGCCAUUCCAAAAAUCAGGGGGUCCUUAAUAGUUAUGUUGAAUCUACUCUGCCUGUAUUCUACAAAUGGAACAAUAAUGCUUGCAUGACAACACAUCUGUUUAUAAUGUAGUUUACUGAAUAUUUUAAGUCAAUUUUUGGUAAGUAAUACCCAGCUAAAAUUCUCUCCCUCUCCCUUUGCCCCUCCCCUGCCUUGCACUCCCUCUCAAUCAAAAAAGAAAAAAAA